RNAcentral lists this ribosomal RNA (505 nucleotides) under uncultured soil bacterium. RNAcentral's name for it is "bacterial SSU rRNA". It matches the Rfam family "Bacterial small subunit ribosomal RNA", at positions 26 to 502 of the family's 1533-position model. The record is from RNAcentral.
AGAACGAACGUUAGCGGCGCGCCUAAGACAUGCAAGUCGAGCGAGAAAGGGCUUCGGCCCCAGUAAAGCGGCGCACGGGUGAGUAACACGUAGGUCAUCAACCCUCGAGUGGUGGACAACCCUCCGAAAGGAGGGCUAAUACAGCAUGACGCCAGCAAUGGCCAAAGCGGGCCUCUCCAUGGAAGCUCGCGCUUGAGGAUGAGCCUGCGGCCAUCAGCUAGUUGGUUGGGGUAAUGGCCCACCAAGGCUAAGACGGGUAGCUGGUCUGAGAGGAUGAACAGCCACACUGGAACUGAGACACGGUCAGACUCCUACGGGAGGCAGCAGUCGGGAAUCUUCGCAAUGGGCGAAAGCCUGGACGGAGCCGACGCCGGUCGUGGAGCGAUGGAAACGGUCCUUUACGGGUUAGUAAAGCUUCGUAGGUGGGGAAGUAAAGAAAUUAAGGGACAGGGCAAACGUCCCUAGGUUUGAUCGACGGUACCUCGUUAGCAAGCCACGGCUAACU